This 441-nucleotide ribosomal RNA is filed under the name uncultured Magnetospirillum sp. RNAcentral's name for it is "bacterial SSU rRNA". It matches the Rfam family "Bacterial small subunit ribosomal RNA", at positions 337 to 795 of the family's 1533-position model. Lineage: Bacteria; Pseudomonadati; Pseudomonadota; Alphaproteobacteria; Rhodospirillales; Rhodospirillaceae. The record is from RNAcentral.
UCCUACGGGGGGCUGCAGUGGGGAAUAUUGGACAAUGGGCGCAAGCCUGAUCCAGCCAUGCCGCGUGAGUGAUGAAGGCCUUAGGGUUGUAAAGCUCUUUCACCCACGACGAUGAUGACGGUAGUGGGAGAAGAAGCCCCGGCUAACUUCGUGCCAGCGGCCGCGGUAAUACGAAGGGGGCUAGCGUUGUUCGGAAUUACUGGGCGUAAAGCGCACGCAGGCGGUUCGGUCAGUCAGAAGUGAAAGCCCCGGGCUUAACCUGGGAACUGCUUUUGAUACUGCCGAGCUUGAAUCACGGAGAGGGUAGUGGAAUUCCGAGUGUAGAGGUGAAAUUCGUAGAUAUUCGGAAGAACACCAGUGGCGAAGGCGACUACCUGGCCGUCGAUUGACGCUCAUGUGCGAAAGCGUGGGGAGCAAACAGGAUUAGAUACCCGAGUAGUC